GGCUCGCGGUAAACGGUUGCCUUUGUCGGUGACUUUCGAUAAUUGUGAGUCUGACGAUGACCUCUCUCUCCAUCCCGGAGAGACGGAGGCAGAGGGGUGUGAUGAUUUCUUUCCGGGACCCCUUCCCGAUUUGAGUUCGGGUCUAAGCGACUCUGUCGCUUGUGCAAGUGAUAAGGACUCUGCACAGCCGCAGUCACCGAACGUUGUUCGGAAUGACAAAUAUGGCGGCGUCGGAGGCGAUGCCCCGACUGUUCCUUUGCCCCGUGGGGGUAAGAAACGUCCCGUCUGCACUGAGGCUGCCGCUGGUAGCGAGUUUCAACUCAUGGCGAAACGUAUGAGGGCUCUGGAGGAGCAGUUAGCAGACGUUAAGCGGGACCGGGCGAGUACAGGAAACCAAACGGCUGGUACAGCGAGGAGGCUGGAGUGGCGGCCAGAGAGGGCGAGGGGGCUAUAGCCAGUACAGAGGCUCAGCAAGGCCUUUUUUACGGUCGGGCCAGCGGGGCCGGGGACAACGGCGACCCGCAUACAUGCAGCAAAGUCAAAGCCAGAGCCAGACACAGAAAAAAGAAUAGCCCCUAAGUCUGAUCAGCCGUGUUCUGCACAAAGUGAAGGAAGACAAAUUUCUUUCAGAAGAGGUUUGCAAGUGUCCACUUCCACAGUGGCAAGAUGGGUGAGAGAAGUGAUGAUGGCGGCUGGAAUUGAUCGACAGUUUAAACCUCAUUCAGUUAGAGGAGCGUCUGUGUCGGCAGCAUACACGGCGGGGACAUCCUUGAGGGACAUACUGGAAACGGCAAACUGGGCAUCAGCCGAGAGCUUUAGGAGGUUCUACUUAAGAGAUAUUGAUGACCCGGGUUCCUUUUCAACCAGUGUUCUGCAGACAGGGCAGUGAUAAGAUGUCAAUGAUAUAGACUUUGUGAAAUGUAGUGUAAUUUUGAAAUACUAAUGAAUGAGUGAACUUGA
Ylistrum balloti is the source of this 960-nucleotide RNA transcript. RefSeq lists it as uncharacterized. Lineage: Eukaryota; Metazoa; Mollusca; Bivalvia; Pectinida; Pectinidae. The transcript is spliced from 4 exons. The record is from RefSeq and is a predicted model, not a curated record.